Marine Group III euryarchaeote CG-Bathy1 is the source of this 2801-nucleotide non-coding RNA. The record is from Rfam. NCBI's taxonomy places the organism in Archaea, Methanobacteriati, Thermoplasmatota, Thermoplasmata, Candidatus Thermoprofundales.
UACAAGCAGUUACUACGCCGUCUGGUGGAUGACUAGGCUCAGCGGCCGAUGAAGGUCGUGCCAAGCUGCGAUAUUGCUUUGGGGAGGCGCAAGGAGCCAUUGAUCCAAAGAUUACCUAAUAGGACUUCCUUAGUUUUAUACUAAAUCCAGAAUUUAUUCUGGAUAGGGAACGCCCCGAAUUGAAACAUCUUAGUAGGGGCAGGAAAAGAAAUCAAAAGAGAUGGGGUUAGUAAAAGCGAUCGAACACCCCAUAGGGCAAUCCGAAUCCCUUUGCGUAAGCAUAGGGACAUGUGGAGCGACUUGGUUAUCUCCUAAUUCUACAAUCCGAAGUUCGUGUGGAACGCCGGUGCCAUAGAGGGUGACAGCCCCGUAGGAGAAACAGAAAAGGAGAAUUUCCAAGAUUCAAGAGUAGUGUGCGUUGGAUAUCGCGCAUGAAUUUGGGAGGUACUAACUUCCAACCCUAAAUACUAGCUGAGACCGAUAGCGCAUUUAGUAGCGUGAGCGAAAGUUGUAAAGUAUCCCUGACGGGAGAUUAGAAAGACCCUGAAAUCAGACGGUUACAGACUGGUACAGCAUGCAAGGGAAGAUGCGGUUUUACCGCGGACCGAUGUUGUACCGUUCGAUUCGAAAAUUGAUCCAUGGAGUUCCUAUUAUUGGCGAGGUUAAGCACGUAGGUGCGAAGCCGAAGGGAAACCGACAGCCCGCAACCAUUUCGUAUGGUGAGGGGCGAGGUGCGCUCGCCUGGAGUCAAUAGUUGGAUACCCGAAGACAGUCGAUCUAUGCCUGGGCAGGGUGAAGCCCUCUGGAAAGAGGGUGGAGGCCCGCACCGGUACUGAUGUUCAAAUCGUUCGGAUGACCUGGGUAUAGGGGUGAAAGGCCAAUCUAGAUUGUCAAUAGCUGGUUCCUCUCGAAACUGCUCGCAGGCAGACCUUGGCUGAGAUUGGGCGUGCGGUAGAGCACUGAUUAGAUGUUUAGGGGGCGAAAGUCCUCGGCGUUUUGUCAAACUCCGAAUGUGCGUCCUUCGUAGAAGCCAGGCAGUGAGGUCACCGGGGUAAGCUUGGUGUCCGCAAGGAAAACAAACCAGACCGAAGUUAAGGUCCCUAAGUAAUAACUAAGUGUUUUAGAACAAAUGGUGUUUUAGGGCACAGACAGCUGGGAGGUUGGCUUAGAGGCAGCCAUCCUUUAAAGAGUGCGUAACAGCCCACCAGUCGAGUCUUAUUGCCCAGAAAAUGGACGGGACUAAGUUAUUCACCGAUACUUCGGGCCACCGUAAGGUGAUGCGGUAGAGAGGCGUCGUGCGUGGGCAGAAGCAAGGGCGUGAGCUCUUGUGGACCGCGUUCGAAUGAAAAUCAUGGAAUAAGUAGUAGCGUAGACAGGUGAGAAUCCUGUCCGCCGGAGGGGCUAGGGUUCCUCGACGAUGUUUAUCAGUCGAGGGUUAGUCGAUCCUAAGACCACUCUUAACAGAAGUGGUCGAAAGGGAAGCAGGUUAAUAUUCCUGCACCAGUUCACAUUUUGUCCUAUUCCUGACACAUCGGGUCAGGCGGAGCACCCCUGUCAAGGUGUUCCCUUAAUCAAUAAAGUUGUGGAGAACCGUAAUGGUGAGAAGCAAUCUAAGAUUUUGGAAGGGGGAGUAUUUCCCUUCCGCUUUAGCCUGGUGUCCGUGAAAAGGGGGUAGGAGCCGUGUGAUCUGUUCGUACCGAGAACUGACACAGGUGCCCCUAGGUGAGUAGCCUAAGGCGUCUCGGCAGAAUCCAGGCAAGGGAACUCGGCAAAUUAGCCCCGUACCUUUGGUAUAAGGGGUGCCAGCUCUGUAGAGAGCUGGUCGCAGUGACUAGGGAGCUCCGACUGUUUACUAAAAACACAGGUGGCUGCUAGUCCGUAAGGAUGAGUAUAGCCGCUGAAUCCUGCCCAGUGGUGGUAUCUGAAACCCGGUUUCAACCGGACGAAGGACCGCUAAACGGCGGGGGUAACUAUGACCCUCUUAAGGUAGCGUAAUACCUUGUCGCUUAAUUGGCGACUUGCACGAACGGCCUAACGAGAGCUCUACUGUCCCCGCCCGGAGCCCGAUGAAAUUGACUUACUGGCGCACAGUCCAGUACGUCCCAGCCGCAAGCGAAGACCCCGUGGAGCUUUACUGCAACCUGCCGUUGUGGCACGAGUUGUUAUGUGUAGAGUAGACGGGAGACAUUACACAGGUACAGACGCUAGUCUGUCACCGAGUCACCGAUGAAACACCAUCCUUUAUCACUCGUCCCACUUACCCUUUUAGGGAACACCGAUAGGCGGGCAGUUUGGGUGGGGCGCCACUCCCUCGAAAAAAUAACAAGGGAGCCCAAAGGUCAGCUUAGGUAGGUCAGGAAUCUACCGUUAAGUGCAAGGGCAAAAGCUGGCUUGACGUGGUUUGGCAACACAAUAAACCACGAUGCGAAAGCAGGGCCUAGCGAACCAACCAGCGCCGUUAGUAGGUGCGGUUGAUAACAGAAAAGUUACCCCGGGGAUAACUGAGUUGUCUGGAGCAAGAGCCCACAUCGACCUCCAGGCUUGCUACUUCGAUGUCGUCUCUUCCUAUCCUGGGUGUGCAGAAGCACCCAAGGGUGGGGUUGUUCGCCCAUUAAAAGGGAUCGUGAGAUGGGUUUAGACCGUCGUGAGACAGGUUUGUUGCUAUGUGCUGGGACUGUCCAAUACCUGAGGGGAAGGAUCCUCUAGUACGAGAGGAACGAGGGUUCGCAGCCACUAGUUUACCAGUUGUCUGACAAGGCACUGCUGGGCAGCCACGCUGUAAGGGAUAAGAGCUGAAAGCA